RNAcentral lists this ribosomal RNA (400 nucleotides) under uncultured bacterium. Its description in RNAcentral is "bacterial SSU rRNA". It matches the Rfam family "Bacterial small subunit ribosomal RNA", at positions 356 to 773 of the family's 1533-position model. The record is from RNAcentral.
GGGGAAUAUUGGACAAUGGGCGCAAGCCUGAUCCAGCCAUGCCGCGUGAGUGAUGAAGGCCCUAGGGUUGUAAAGCUCUUUCAACGGUGAAGAUAAUGACGGUAACCGUAGAAGAAGCCCCGGCUAACUUCGUGCCAGCAGCCGCGGUAAUACGAAGGGGGCUAGCGUUGUUCGGGAUUACUGGGCGUAAAGCGCACGUAGGCGGAUUGAUCAGUUAGGGGUGAAAUCCCAGGGCUCAACCCUGGAACUGCCUUUAAUACUGCCGGUCUAGAGUUCGAGAGAGGUGAGUGGAAUUCCGAGUGUAGAGGUGAAAUUCGUAGAUAUUCGGAGGAACACCAGUGGCGAAGGCGGCUCACUGGCUCGAUACUGACGCUGAGGUGCGAAAGCGUGGGGAGCAAAC